AGUGAACGCUGGCGGUAGGCCUAACACAUGCAAGUCGAACGGCAGCACAGUAAGAGCUUGCUCUUACGGGUGGCGAGUGGCGGACGGGUGAGGAAUACAUCGGAAUCUACUUUUUCGUGGGGGAUAACGUAGGGAAACUUACGCUAAUACCGCAUACGACCUACGGGUGAAAGCAGGGGAUCUUCGGACCUUGCGCGAUUGAAUGAGCCGAUGUCGGAUUAGCUAGUUGGCGGGGUAAAGGCCCACCAAGGCGACGAUCCGUAGCUGGUCUGAGAGGAUGAUCAGCCACACUGGAACUGAGACACGGUCCAGACUCCUACGGGAGGCAGCAGUGGGGAAUAUUGGACAAUGGGCGCAAGCCUGAUCCAGCCAGACCGCGUGGGUGAAGAAGGCCUUCGGGUUGUAAAGCCCUUUUGUUGGGAAAGAAAAGCAGCAGGUUAAUACCCCGCUGUUCUGACGGUACCCAAAGAAUAAGCACCGGCUAACUUCGU
RNAcentral lists this ribosomal RNA (491 nucleotides) under uncultured bacterium. RNAcentral describes it as "partial 16S ribosomal RNA". It matches the Rfam family "Bacterial small subunit ribosomal RNA", at positions 29 to 506 of the family's 1533-position model. The record is from RNAcentral.